AGGGUGUGCUCGUCAGAGCAGGGGCCUGAGGAAUGGCGCCUCGGUUCACGACACGCCAGACAGGAGCUCGGGGCUGCUGUGCGCAGGGGCACAGCAUUCUCGCCCUUCCUGUGAGCACGCACCCUGCUUGU
Molecule: small nucleolar RNA, 131 nt
Organism: Phyllostomus discolor (pale spear-nosed bat)
Lineage: Eukaryota; Metazoa; Chordata; Mammalia; Chiroptera; Phyllostomidae
Product: small nucleolar RNA SNORA11
Exons: 1
Source: RefSeq, a predicted model, not a curated record